UUGUGGGAUAUUAUUAUGGAAUAAAAGUAUAAAUUUAAAUAGCAUUAUUAAUAUAUAUAUAGAAUUAGGCUGAAAUAUUAUUAAUAGCACCAAUGACUUGGUGUUAUUAAAUUUUUUAUUAUUGGAUUAAAAGAUAUACGGUUAGAAUGAUGUGGGUCUCUGAGGAUUGAGUGGGUGGUUAGUUGAAUAGUAUAAUCGAACGAAUGAAAAUAAUAAAAGAGCUAAAUCUAAUGGUAGAAAACUUGAUAGCACCAAAUGCUUCGUACUAUCGUGAACAUCCCAGCCGGACUAUAUAGAUAUAUAAAAGGAAAAAUUUCAUCACUACCUUUCCAAAUAAGUCUAAUAUCAUGAAUGCCCCUACAAAAAUUAAAAUAUCAUAAAUAAUCUUUUAAAAGAGAAAAACUUUCAAAAAUAACCUUUACACUAAUUUAUUAUCAAUUUUGAAUAAACAACAAACAAAAUUCCAACUUUGCCCCUAUUGUCAUUACCAUCUUAAAAUAUUUAAUUGACUAUAAAAUCAUUUAUAAUUUUAUAAACACUCUUUUAAAUUUAUAAAUAACCUACAUUUAGAGAUAAGCUUUUAUCAAUUAAAAAAUAUAUUUAUAAUCCUGACAAAUUAAGCUAAAAAAAUCAAAAAAAUUGAAAAAAAAUUUAGCAAAAAAUUAUUUAAAGUAUCAAUUAACUCAUUAAAAUAAGGUUAAACAAUUUAUUCAAAAUAUAAUUUAAAUAUAUAUGCAUGAUGUGAACUAGCAUAAAUUUCUGUGCUUUGGCAUCUCGAAUUUUAAAAAAAAUGAUAUAAAGUAUUUUAUUUUAGUAUCUUAUUUUACAAACCACACAGUUUAUUUUAAUAUUUUAAAAUAAAUAUUAUCAUGCUAAAAUAUUUUUGUAAAAAAAUUUUAGAAGUUAAGGGCAAAAUAGAUAUUUUGACCAUAUUUAUGAUAAUCUAAAUAUUUUGUUAUUCUAUAAAGAGAUGAAUAGUAAGGGUAAGGGUAUAUUUGAAAAAUAAUAAGUAUUUGCAGGGGUAUUUGUGAUAUAAUCAAAUUUAUAGGGGUAUCUAUGAUUUUUUUGAAGUUUAGAGGGGCACGAAUGAAAUUGACCCUAUAUAAAAUUAUACAAAAUUAUAAUUAUUUCGUCGUAAUCCUGUAUCUUAACAAUGAAAACCCAAAUACAUCUUCUCCCCCCAAAAAAAGCAUAACUAAUUGAAAAACUC
This 1210-nucleotide long non-coding RNA is filed under the name Ananas comosus (pineapple). RNAcentral's name for it is "long non-coding RNA (ACOM_LNC025187)". The record is from RNAcentral. Lineage: Eukaryota; Viridiplantae; Streptophyta; Magnoliopsida; Poales; Bromeliaceae.